RNAcentral lists this ribosomal RNA (274 nucleotides) under uncultured bacterium. Its description in RNAcentral is "partial 16S ribosomal RNA". It matches the Rfam family "Bacterial small subunit ribosomal RNA", at positions 523 to 796 of the family's 1533-position model. The record is from RNAcentral.
AUACGGAGGGUGCAAGCGUUGUUCGGAAUUACUGGGCGUAAAGAGCGUGUAGGCUGUUUGGCAAGUCAGAUGUGAAAGCCCUGGGCUUAACCCGGGAAGUGCAUUUGAAACUGCCAUGCUUGAGUAUGGGAGAGGAGAGUGGAAUUCCCAGUGUAGAGGUGAAAUUCGUAGAUAUUGGGAGGAACACCCGUGGCGAAGGCGACUCUCUGGACCAAUACUGACGCUGAGACGCGAAAGCGUGGGGAGCAAACAGGAUUAGAUACCCCGGUAGUCC